AUACGUAGGUGGCGAGCGUUGUCCGGAAUUACUGGGCGUAAAGGGUGCGUAGGCGGUUAUUUAAGUCUCGUGUGAAAGGCGCCGGCUUAACCGGCGAGAGCCACGGGAAACUGGGUAGCUAGAGUGCCGGAGAGGGUCGCGGAAUUCCCGGUGUAGCGGUGAUAUGCGUAGAUAUCGGGAGGAACACCAGUGGCGAAGGCGGCGGCCUAGACGGUAACUGACGCUGAGGCACGAAAGCUGGGGGAGCAAACAGGAUUAGAUACCCUGGUAGUCCCAGCCGUAAACGAUGAGCGCUAGGUGUUGCGGGUAUCGACCCCUGCAGUGCCGCAGUCAACGCAAUAAGCGCUCCGCCUGGGGAGUACGGCCGCAAGGCUGAA
Molecule: ribosomal RNA, 377 nt
Filed under: uncultured bacterium
Lineage: Bacteria
Description: bacterial SSU rRNA
Rfam family: Bacterial small subunit ribosomal RNA
Source: RNAcentral